UACGAAGGGGGCUAGCGUUGUUCGGAAUCACUGGGCGUAAAGCGCACGUAGGCGGAUUUUUAAGUCAGGGGUGAAAUCCCGAGGCUCAACCUCGGAACUGCCUUUGAUACUGGGGAUCUGGAGUCCGGGAGAGGUGAGCGGAACUGCGAGUGUAGAGGUGAAAUUCGUAGAUAUCGGGAGGAACACCAGUGGCGAAGGCGGCUAUCUGGGCUGCAACUGACGCUGAGGCGCGAAGGCUAGGGUAGCAAACAGG
This 253-nucleotide ribosomal RNA is filed under the name uncultured bacterium. Its description in RNAcentral is "partial 16S ribosomal RNA". It matches the Rfam family "Bacterial small subunit ribosomal RNA", at positions 524 to 776 of the family's 1533-position model. The record is from RNAcentral.